GAAUAUUGCACAAUGGGCGCAAGCCUGAUGCAGCAACGCCGCGUGAGGGGCGACGGCCUUCGGGUUGUAAACCUCUUUUAGUAGGGAAGAAGCGAAAGUGACGGUACCUGCAGAAAAAGCACCGGCUAACUACGUGCCAGCAGCCGCGGUAAUACGUAGGGUGCAAGCGUUAUCCGGAAUUAUUGGGCGUAAAGAGCUCGGAGGCGGUUUGUCGCGUCUGCUGUGAAAACUGGAGGCUCAACCUCCAGCCUGCAGUGGGUACGGGCAGACUAGAGUGCGGUAGGGGAGAUUGGAAUUCCUGGUGUAGCGGUGGAAUGCGCAGAUAUCAGGAGGAACACCGAUGGCGAAGGCAGAUCUCUGGGCCGUAACUGACGCUGAGGAGCGAAAGCAUGGGGAGCGAACAG
RNAcentral lists this ribosomal RNA (404 nucleotides) under uncultured bacterium. Its description in RNAcentral is "bacterial SSU rRNA". It matches the Rfam family "Bacterial small subunit ribosomal RNA", at positions 359 to 775 of the family's 1533-position model. The record is from RNAcentral.